RNAcentral lists this long non-coding RNA (328 nucleotides) under Elaeis guineensis (African oil palm). Its description in RNAcentral is "long non-coding RNA (EGUI_LNC005562)". Lineage: Eukaryota; Viridiplantae; Streptophyta; Magnoliopsida; Arecales; Arecaceae. The record is from RNAcentral.
CCCUUCCUUGGUAUCUCGCUCCAUCUUGUAUCCUCAGGUAUCCGGAGCUCCAACCAAGCCCUUCGAAAUUCUCGCCGCCUGAACCUUGAGCCCCUGAAAGCUAUGCAGUGCCUCCACCUUAGGAUAACUCCCAUCCUAAUGAACUAGGAGCCUAUCAAUCCAGCUCCGUCUGUGGUCACCUUCAAGGCUAUGGGGGCACCACAAAAUUCCUACAGACUCAUCAUGUGAGGUAUUAUCCGCUGUGGCCCAUCGACUUCACGAUUUUAUUCUUUAAAAGGUACCUCACGUGGGAAGAAUUUUUUCCUCCUUAUAAGCAUGAGUCUUCCUU